GCAGCGGACCUCCGCGCGCCUUUCCUGAGAAACUACGUAGAGGCUGGAUCCGGGGCCCGGGAGUUGGGUCCUUCCUUAGCCAAGGGAAGGACUCUCUUUCAAUUCAACAUUAUCUGUACCUGCAGGCAGUCUUCUAAAUUGACAGCACCAUCUGUCAUGGAGGUGUUUCGGUCUUCUUCACGGUGUCUCAUCAUGUCCAGUAUCCACUCCAAAGGAGCUGAAGAAUACAGUUCUCAGAGAGCAGUUGGGUCUGAGCAUAAAAGCCCAUCAAUAAGGAGCAGGGGCAGCCAGAAGUCAUAUGGUGAGGACACUCAAGCAGCCCUCUGGAGAAGCCUGUGUGGCAGGGAACUGAGGUCUCCUGCCAGCCACCAGCACUGAUUUGCCAGGGAUAACAUUACUACUGUAAAACCUAAGACUGAUGCUCAAGAUAUUUUUCCGAUCCUGUACUCAACGGAUCUGCUGGUGACACACAGAUUAAUAAACAGGCUCAUCUGGUCUUUGGCCCCCACCCCGAGAUCCACGCAGCACAAGAGAACAGCUUCAACCCCUAUGAUUGCAUCUCCAACCUGCCCAAUCAGUACUCUCCACUCUCUGGCCCCCUACCCAGCAAAUUAUCCUUAAUAAAACCUGGUCUCUGAAUUUUCAGGGAGACAGAUUUGAGUAAUAAUACAACUCUGGUCUCCCAUUCAGCCGGCUCGGCAUGAAUUAAACUCUCUAUUGCAAUUCCCGUCUCGAUAAAUACACUCUAUCUGGGCAAUG
Saimiri boliviensis boliviensis (Bolivian squirrel monkey) is the source of this 759-nucleotide non-coding RNA. NCBI's taxonomy places the organism in Eukaryota, Metazoa, Chordata, Mammalia, Primates, Cebidae. The record is from RefSeq and is a predicted model, not a curated record.